Molecule: ribosomal RNA, 497 nt
Filed under: uncultured bacterium
Lineage: Bacteria
Description: partial 16S ribosomal RNA
Rfam family: Bacterial small subunit ribosomal RNA
Source: RNAcentral
GAUGAACGCUGGCGGCGUGCCUAAUACAUGCAAGUUGAGCGAACGGACGAGAAGCUUGCUUCUCUGAUGUUAGCGGCGGACGGGUGAGUAACACGUGGAUAACCUACCUAUAAGACUGGGAUAACUUCGGGAAACCGGAGCUAAUACCGGAUAAUAUUUUGAACCGCAUGGUUCAAAAGUGAAAGACGGUCUUGCUGUCACUUAUAGAUGGAUCCGCGCUGCAUUAGCUAGUUGGUAAGGUAACGGCUUACCAAGGCAACGAUGCAUAGCCGACCUGAGAGGAUGAUCGGCCACACUGGAACUGAGACACGGUCCAGACUCCUACGGGAGGCAGCAGUAGGGAAUCUUCCGCAAUGGGCGAAAGCCUGACGGAGCAACGCCGCGUGAGUGAUGAAGGUCUUCGGAUCGUAAAGCUCUGUUAUUAGGGAAGAACAUAUGUGUAAGUAACUGUGCACAUCUUGACGGUACCUAAUCAGAAAGCCACGGCUAACUACGUG